This 406-nucleotide ribosomal RNA is filed under the name uncultured bacterium. RNAcentral's name for it is "partial 16S ribosomal RNA". It matches the Rfam family "Bacterial small subunit ribosomal RNA", at positions 30 to 526 of the family's 1533-position model. The record is from RNAcentral.
AUUGAACGCUGGCGGCAGGCUUAACACAUGCAAGUCGAGCGAGCGGCGGACGGGUGAGUAAUGUCUGGGAAACUGCCUGAUGGAGGGGGAUAACUCCUGGAAACGGUAGCUAAUACCGCAUACCAUCAGAUGUGCCCAUAUGGGAUUAGCUAGGCUGUGGGGGAAUGGCUCACCUAGGCGACGCUCCCUAGCUGGUCUGCGAGGAUGACCAGCCACAUGGGAACUGAGACACGGUCCAGACUCCUACGGGAGGCAGCAGUGGGGAAUAUUGCACAAUGGGCGCAAGCCUGAUGCAGCCAUGCCGCGGGUGUGAAGAAGGCCUUCGGGUUGUAAAGCACUUUCAGCGAGGAGGCGUUACUCGCAGAAGAAGCACCGGCUAACUCCGUGCCAGCAGCCGCGGUAAUUC